AACGAACGCUGGCGGCAGGCCUAAUACAUGCAAGUCGAACGCCGUAGCAAUACGGAGUGGCAGACGGGUGAGUAACACGUGGGAACGUGCCCAAAGGUACGGAACAACUCCGGGAAACUGGAGCUAAUACCGUAUGUGCCCGAAAGGGGAAAGAUUUAUCGCCUUUGGAUCGGCCCGCGUCUGAUUAGCUUGUUGGUGAGGUAACGGCUCACCAAGGCGACGAUCAGUAGCUGGUCUGAGAGGAUGAUCAGCCACACUGGGACUGAGACACGGCCCAGACUCCUACGGGAGGCAGCAGUAGGGAAUAUUGGACAAUGGGCGAAAGCCUGAUCCAGCCAUGCCGCGUGAGUGAUGAAGGCCUUAGGGUUGUAAAGCUCUUUCGUCCGGGACGAUAAUGACGGUACCGGAAGAAGAAGCCCCGGCUAACUUCGUGCCAGCAGCCGCAGUAAAAC
This 452-nucleotide ribosomal RNA is filed under the name uncultured bacterium. RNAcentral's name for it is "bacterial SSU rRNA". It matches the Rfam family "Bacterial small subunit ribosomal RNA", at positions 29 to 526 of the family's 1533-position model. The record is from RNAcentral.